Molecule: unclassified non-coding RNA, 1380 nt
Filed under: Leishmania donovani
Lineage: Eukaryota; Euglenozoa; Kinetoplastea; Trypanosomatida; Trypanosomatidae
Description: gene:unknown
Source: RNAcentral
UUCGCGACUCCAGUUCCGUGCUGUGGUGCUCUGGCUACCGUGGAUGCGGCCACUCGUGCCGACUUCGGAGGACGUGGGGAGGGGGACGGCAUUCGCUAAGCGGAUGUGGCCACGGGAGAAUGCGCUGUGCUCAGACAGAUGUGGACAAGAGCGAGAAGGUUGCAUGCAAGGCGGCGCUUCACGGUCAGUGGGCAUGAACUGUGCCGUCUGCGGCUGUUUUCUCGACGUUACCGUACCAACAGCAGCAACGCGAAGCUGUUCGUUGCACGAGGCCAUGCGUUAAAGUUUGAGAGCGUGCCUUUAGGUUGUUUCGGCACCGGUCUGCGUGUAGGCAUAUGGCGUGCGUGUGUGUGUAUGUGUGUGGGCCAGUGAGAGAGAUGAAAACAGACGCGUGUGGUCGAUGGAUGCAAUAAGAGGAGAUCCCCAAUCGCACGCCGGGUGCGGUGCUCACAUUUUUUAUGUUCCAAAGGGUUCAUGGAUUCCUGUAAAGCAGACGAAGAGAAGGGAGGAGCAUGGCGGACGCACGAUUGCGGCCGCCGCAGCGGCCCCCACGUCAGUCGAGUGGACGAAAUCAGGAGAACAACAUGAGUUCGCUCUCUGCUAGCGUGUUGGGGCCAGAGUUCCACGGUGGAGCCGUCUCACAAUUUUCGCGUGGCUACUGCUUGUUGCCUCCUCAUAACGGGCGACACCUCGCCGCAGGUGGGUUCAGGGACUGAUGCCCCCCCCCCCCCCCCCCACACACUCUGUGUGUGGGGGGGCCGAGCAGUCUGCUGCAUCUCUGCCCGAGGCCGAGCCUCCCUCUGGUGGUGUCCAGGGCCCAGCACCUAGGACGUGGUGGGAUCCGAGUGAGUCACCGCGACCGAUGCUGGUGCUCAGGUGAUGGAUGACGUUGCGUCAGGAGAGACCUGCAACCGUGAACGUGCUUGUACAUAUUGUACAGUAGGCGGGCUGCCCGCGCGACUUGAGCGCAUCUCUCACCCGGCGCUCACAUUGCCCUACGGCUGUAGGGGAGCCUGAGCCACCCCGAGGGGUGUGCGCCAGACGGGCCUCUGGCAUGAUGGUAGCGGCUGCGAGGUGACCCCGUAGGGCGGGCAGCGUUUGAGAGGCAGAGGCCGUGCUCCUCAUGACGGAUGGGGCGCAUUGCUGUAAGGUGCGCGUCUAGGGCUGCUUUGCACGACAGGAUUGAGGCCUGUGGCUGGCCGGGGGCUGGCGUGGCGUUCGACCUCACACACUGCAUGGCAGAGAACCGGGGCACGGCGUGCGAAGAGAAAGAGCCAUUUGGCUGCUCUCGGAGCUGGGGAGGUCUAUUGUGGCGCUCAGAGCGCACUAUUCGUAGGGAAUACGCUCGGCGGGUGCUGAUGCAGCCUGCCUUCUUAUGAG